GUUAGUAUUAAGUCUAUUUUGAAAAUAAACAAAGGUUAUACAACCUACUAAUU
This 53-nucleotide transfer RNA is filed under the name Siphonodentalium lobatum. RNAcentral describes it as "tRNA-Ser". Lineage: Eukaryota; Metazoa; Mollusca; Scaphopoda; Gadilida; Siphonodentaliidae. The record is from RNAcentral.